CCGUAUUUUAUCUUAUGUAGAAUCAAGAGGUUACGUACAAAGCACGACGAGUACACACCUGGUCUCUGCAAGAUUAGAAUGCACACAAUCAACACUAACGCACACACUCAAAGUAUCACACCGGCAAAAAUCAAAGUCCAAAGCUCUACCUAGAUAGAGGGAAAAAAAAGAAAAAUGAAAAAAGUAACAAUGAUUCAGGCCAAACAAUUGUCGACGCAACAAAGAUGUUUAAGUGCACACAAGUGGAACAUGGACACAACCAUACAAACUGAAAAUUGUGCAAACAUGAAGUAGACAGUCCAACCAUAGAGAGGCGUCUUUGGAGCCAAGAGCAUCCAUCAACGCAUAUAUUACAUAGGUCACGGUAAACUGACGAGAGAAGGGACCACCAACAUACCCCACCGGAAACGCUUCGACGAUCUCAUGCCUACAUCGCGAGUGUACAUCGAUUGUAAAUCUGGACAUGGCAACCUGCCCCCAGACGAUACGCCAUGAGCCAUCACUUCAUCACUGUCGCCACUUUCUGUCGCCACCAACUCCGUCGAGCAUGUGCCUCAAUGGCUCGGCCAUCUACAUCGUCAACCUGCAUACCGGCACAGUCGACGCACACCAGCUCCACGAUGGAUUGCUGCUACCCAGCGCCAAGCAUUGUCUCCAUGCCUCAGCCACCCAAAACAAGGCACUGAGGUGACAGGGAAGCCACACAUCGAUAGUGUAUACUAUGGUGGCAAUCCAGGCAUAAUACAACAUGUGUCUUCUUUCUGGCGUCAUGCUUUGGUUGGAUACCAUUUCUUGGAAGUUCAAUGCAUUCGACAUAUAAAGUUCAAUUUGCGGCGGUGAUUUCUUCCCCUCCACGACUCCAUGUGCAACUUUCUCUUGGCCUAUCCUUGUUGUUUGUAUAAAGCUCCCUGGAAACCACCUACAAGUUUGUGCAUUAGCUGCAUACAUUCAAAGACAGAGCCUGCUUCGCUCUUUCUUACAAGUAGAGAUAAAUGAGCAUCAAACGGUUGCAAGCACUUGGUAGCAUAAUUUCUUUGAAAUUCUAGUGUACCUCUGUUUUAUUUGCAACAAGCUACUUCAAAAGUACAAAACUCGCACUAAUAGACAUGGCAGGUAGCUUAGCUUCGCUGGCUAGCCUACCAAUACUAAGAAAUAGAUGAUGCCUCGUUCUCGGCCGCGCAAACCAGGCUACAACAAAUGCAUAAACAUGUGCUUAGAAACAACAAAAACUAAUGAAAAAUAAACAAAUGCAAGAGUGUUCUUGCUUUACAUUAAAAACAAUAAAAAAAUAUGAAGCAUGUAACAAAAUGAUGUAUAAAAUAGAAACAUUGAAUUGAAUUUAACGUGACGCCGAGUUAUAACAAACAUGUGAAGCUUGAACUAUAGUUUUUUGCUUCAAGUGUUCAACACAUCUAUCAUUCAUUACCAAAAAUAGCAUGACUCGAUUCCCCUGGAAAAAACACAUACAUGGCUUGAUGAGGUGGUAUGGUGUGCAUAUGAGUAUGUGCUUGAUUUUUUAUGCCGUACAAAUUCAACCGGAUGACUAUCAUUGAUUGAGAUGAAGUGAAAGCACGCAUGCGUAGAAAUUUAGUAGUGAAGACUGGCUAUUUAGAUAUAGAAUGCCCCAUAUUUUUAGCACAUGAUAUUGUACGCAAAAUAAUAUGGACCGUCAUUGAGCUAAUGCCCGAUCUUUGCAUAACAAGAUGCACAUAACCAUCACAUUCAUAAAGAGUUGAAAAUGCCUUACUAGAAAGGUAAAAAUAGAGCUUAUACAACCAUCUUACAAGGCCCUUACUUUCACAAAACAACGAAUCCAUAUAACCGGCUAGAAACAAGACACAGAUAUGUGCAUCCAAGCGAAUCACGACUGCAUAUGUCACUUUAGUAUGGUCUUUGGAAACAUGCGUCUUAGUCAUUAUAUAUGCAGUUACACAAUGAAUGAACUGAUUGAUUGAAUUUUAGCAAACCUAGAUAUGUAGAUCAAGCAGAAUCUACUAAGUUACUAAGCUCCCUAGAAAUGAUGGGUUGUUGUGGCUCAAGGCUCCGUGGAUGGUUUGUCGGGCCCGUUUGUAAGAGUGUUCUUCAUUGGCCGAGAGCUUAUGGGCUUACUCGCAUGUAAUCAUGGUGUUCAUGUUGGGCUCACGUAAACACCACCAGUAGAUCGCUGUGAAGUGUAACAACAUCAGAGUGAUAUACCCAACACCUCUCUUCAGUCUUCACCAUGAAGACCAUACCACCUCCACCAAGUAAGACCAUAGUGACAACAAGAAACAACACAACCAUACAACCUAGCAUAGGUGGAACUCAUCUUGGGCAUAACACGUGAAACCCGAACCCCAAACCCUAACCAGUACUACCAGAACUCAAAAAAUCCAUGCACCUAUUUGGGUAGUAACUCCAGAAAACCGAAUUUUAUUCAGAAAAUUCGGGUUCAUACCCCGGUACUCGAUCUACCCGAAGUUAAUGGGAAAUGUUAGCCCAACCCUGCAAAUUAAGGCCCAACACCACACUAUGCCGCAACCCAUGUCCUCUUCAAUGCCACACACUCUCCCAACCCAUGUGUUGGUGUGCCCACAUCCAAUCUCUCACGCACAGAGGCACACACAUCCAUUCGCAAGAUCCAAACCUCCAGCUUCUGACCUAGCCGCCGCCUCCCUCACAUCCCAUGUCUUUGCCUGAUAGCGGCAAGGGGCAGCAUCGUGCCAACCGCCUCCCUCAACAGCGUGUAGAGGUGACGCAUGAGCCAUCUCCCUCGAUGGCGUGCAGUGGUGAGACACCAUGCUGGCCGCCUCCCACGAUAGCGUGUAGUGGCGAGGCACCGCGCCGGCCACCUGUUUCGCAUCCCAUCUUCCCCGCCCCAGAGCGGCAAGGGGCAGCAUUGUGCCGGCUACCUACCUCAACAGCUUGUAGUGGUGCAGCUUCGCUUUGGCGCCUCCCUCGUCAUUGUGCGUGUCGCGUCGGCGCCUCCCUUAUCAGCAUGUGUGUCGCCUGUUGCAUCGCCUCAACAAGAUGCAAUUCGGGAUUACAUGAACCCGACCCCGAAUUUCCGGGUCGCAAAAACUCGGGCAAGUCCGGGUUUUAUUUUUGAAAACAUGAUUUUUUUUAUAACCUGAAUUACACGACCCGAAUUUUUGGUAAACCCGAACGCCGAGGCUAAGGUAAAACUUACAGCUAGCCAACCGCAAUAGACCGUGUGAAAAAAAUUAACUUACAACUAAAGAACGGCAUGAAAGUCGCGUGUCACACUCUAGCCCUGCUUCAAAAUUGCGACUAGCUAGCGUGGAACAGAGCAGCUAGGCUGGCGUCUGCUUGGCUUAGUAGAUUAUGUGGAUAAGCUAUAUAAUUUGAUUUCCGACCAAUAUGGUCGUGUUUCGUUGUAAACCAUUUUGUUUUCAUUGACUUGGACUUCUUUUAUUUAAUAAAAUGAUUGUGUGCAUCUUAGAUGCAGAGAUCCGGGUCAUCUUGUUGUAAAAGAAAAGAAAAGAGCUGUUCCGGUCCGAGUUUCCGGUCGAGUUGUCGCCAUCUAGGCUAUGAAACAAUGAGUGAGGCUAUUUGGCUCCCGAGCUCAUCGGCUCCCAUGGUGAACAGCAAAUUAAAAAAAAAUUAGAAAAUAAAAAUAUCCUUUUUUGCGUGGAGGAUGCUUAGGUGCCUGAGGUCCGCUCAAAAUUUUAGCUCAUCUUGACAACUGAGUAGCCCUCGGAAAAAAAGACAAAUUUGGGGUAUGUGAAACAGUUUACUCUUGAUCUGCUGUUCUGACUCAAUUUAUAUUAUUUAGUGAGAGCUACUCAUAUUCAAAGUUUUAAAAACCAGACCGGACCGACGGUCAGGCCAGAAGAAACCAAAACCUGCGAUCCUGACAGUUUUCUAAAUGCAGGGGAUUGAUUGAGCAAUCAAGCCGAAAAAACCCGAUGAACCGGGUGGUUCACAAAAAACCGGUCGGUUCGAUAUCGUUUCUAGAAAACCCCUCAAUCAACUCGUUUUCGUGCGAACAAGCUGGAUGUAGAAUCGGAAAAGGAAGAAAAACCCUCUUUUAGUAGGGUUUCAACCAUUUUAGGAGCAUUUCUCUCGAUUUUAUCCACGGACAAAUCCUAUCGGGGGCCAGCGCCUCCUCCGGUGCAACCCCUACUUGGCACCAUGGCGUGGCGAUGUCACUUCUCCCUCGCCGCACUACAUGGCAGCACCAGGUCACCAGCCCGCACCGGCACUCCCGUGUACCGCCAUCCGCACCACCUCUAUUGACAGUUGGGGACAGGGGCUACCGCCACCUGGUCAGACUGGUACAUACAACUUCGAUCUCCCUCCGCUCCAGUCAAAUCGACCAGGCUUCCCUCCGGUUGCCUCCUUCUAUUCCGGAGUCCAGACCAGGAGCAACCGAGUAGGAGGUCCAAGACGCCCGACGGUCACCUCCGAUUACAUAUUUAUUAUCUAUUGAUUCGUGCAUUUAUUGAUAAAAUAUGUGUUAUUUUAUUACUUAAAAUAUCGACAAUCGAACUGGUGAAUCGGCGGUCCGACCGGUAAAAACCUGAACCGGUAGCCUCGGCGAUUCGAUUACCGGUUCGAUUUUAAACUGUGCUCAUAUGCAAAUGAUCUUAAAUUUGAAGCGGACCUCACACACCAAAUCGUCUUCCAUGCAAAAAGGAAAUCAGAAUUUUUUAAUUUUUUUAAAUUUUCACUUAACCAGGUGCAGAUGAGUCUGGACACAGAAAUGGAUAUUCGGUCAAACAAUCUGCAUUUUUAACGGACUUAUAUGGAUUUAUCUAUCUCUUUGCUGGGUGGAGUAGCUACUGUUUGGGUUGGCGGUUCAUGAAUGGUGGGGAGGCAUGGCCGGCCGCAAGUGGGGGCGUGUCGCCUCAGAUCUGUGCCCAUCGGAACAGCUGGUCGCCUGCGCCGUCACACAAAAUACGUCGCCGGCCGAAGAGCCGCACGUACGGCCGGCCGAAGAGAAGAAGAAUCGUUGGCUGGCUUGCAAGUCUCUGGCCGGUGGAAGUUGUGCUUUACCUUGGUCGCGAGCCAUGGCGCCAUUUUCCACGCGCGCAUGACCCGGCAGAGCAGGCGAUCGAGCAAGGCGUACGUGCAGAUCAGAUUUCCUGGCACGAUAUGGAUCGGAUCGAGCAAGGCGUACGUGCAGAUCAGAUUUCCUGACACGAUAUGGAUCGGAUCGGAUCAGCAUCCUGACUGAUAGCAUGCAAAGUGGCAGCAUCUGUACACACUGUACUGCGUAUGGCUGGAGCCAGGCGGCAAGUGCAAUGGAAAUCAUUUGUAUCCGA
This 5267-nucleotide long non-coding RNA is filed under the name Triticum aestivum (bread wheat). RNAcentral describes it as "long non-coding RNA (TAES_LNC010737)". The record is from RNAcentral. Lineage: Eukaryota; Viridiplantae; Streptophyta; Magnoliopsida; Poales; Poaceae.